This 871-nucleotide ribosomal RNA is filed under the name uncultured fungus. Its description in RNAcentral is "eukaryotic LSU rRNA". It matches the Rfam family "Eukaryotic large subunit ribosomal RNA", at positions 24 to 664 of the family's 3401-position model. The record is from RNAcentral. Lineage: Eukaryota; Fungi.
CCCGCUGAACUUAAGCAUAUCAGUAAGCGGAGGAAAAGAAACUAACCAGGAUUCCCCUAGUAACGGCGAGUGAAGCGGGAUUAGCCCAAUAUUAGAAGCUGGUCAGCCUAGCGCUGGUCCCGCAUUGUAUAUUGUUGGGACGUUACCUAGUAUUAAGCCUUUCGGUCAAAGUUCCUUGGAACAGGACGUCAAAGAGGGUGAGAACCCCGUGCGUGACCGAAUGACAUACCAGCUUAGUGCGACUACGGUGCGUCUCCUUAGAGUCGGAAUGUUUGGGAAUGCAUUCCAAAGCGGGUGGUAAACUCCAUCUAAGGCUAAAUACUGGCGAGAGACCGAUAGCGAACAAGUACCGUGAGGGAAAGUUGAAAAGCACUCUGGAGAGAGAGUCAAACAGUACGUGAAAUUGCUAGCAGGGAAACGUUGGGCGCCAGUACACGGCUAUUAAUGUCGAUGAUCAGCCGGGCGUUUUUUGGUAUGCAGUCGUGGUGUUUACACUUUGGAGAUUGUCCUAGGAUGACUCACGCGAUUGUAUUAUCGAUUUACACCGGUGCACUCUUCGGCAGCCGGGUCAGCAUCGGUUAACGAUGUCCGAAAAGCUGCGUUGGCAAGGUAAUCACGAUUGCUUCGGUAAUCAUGAGACUUAUAGGCCAGUGUCGGCGAGGAUGUUGUUGACCGAGGAAAGCGAUUCGUGCGUUUCGGCGCUGGGCGUUAUGGUUUGGUCAAGGCUGCCCGUGGCGUUAGACAACUUGUUGACUAGCGUUUACUUUGUCAAGCUUCGGCCUGGCAGCGGCGGUCGCCAAAUUAUAACAAGCCACUAACGAGUCUAUGAUUGCUGACGGAAUGGUUCUCAACGACCCGUCUUGAAACACGG